RNAcentral lists this long non-coding RNA (549 nucleotides) under Phoenix dactylifera (date palm). Its description in RNAcentral is "long non-coding RNA (PDAC_LNC021967)". The record is from RNAcentral. Lineage: Eukaryota; Viridiplantae; Streptophyta; Magnoliopsida; Arecales; Arecaceae.
CCGCUUUCCGAGUGUCCUCCAUGGGUCAGAAAACCCUAGGGAGUCAUCGAAGAUAUAAAGAAAUACUAACCACUCCAUUCGUGGAUGGACAAAGGGCUAGAAGGAAGGACAUUAUAACCGUUCCUACAAGAAAAGUACUACCACCCCUUAUUUCGAGAGUGGGCCUUCACUUGAAAGAAAGCUCAGAGCAUUCUCAGUGUAGGGGUGAUCCCUUGAAGCUGGACAAAUCAAAAGAAGCCCGCAAUCAUUCUCCAAGCAUUGGGGAUGAGCUAUGCGGGGACAAAUUGGUUUUGGGCCAAUAAGUCUGCGACAAUCAAUGGGAUCGGGAGCCUUAUCUCUGCUUUGAGGGACUCCUCAUAUAGGGCUAUCUGGUUCUUUCCGGGCGAAGUCACCCAUUCCAAAGGACCAGGGUGCUCAAGGACAAAGUCCUCGAAAAUGAACCAUCCGGAUCUGAUUGAGGUCGGACUCGCCCAGGAAGCUUAUCUCAAUAUUCGGACCAGAAGACACUUAAGAAAGAACUCCCCCUGAGGUCACAACGACCUAGUUAGG